GAUCCUGGCUCAGGAUGAACGCUAGCUACAGGCUUAACACAUGCAAGUCGAGGGGCAGCAUGUUGGUGUUUGCAACCAAUGAUGGCGACCGGCGCACGGGUGAGUAACGCGUAUCCAACCUUCCCCUUAGUAGAGGAUAGCCCGGCGAAAGUCGGAUUAAUACUCUAUGUUCUUCAAUGCGGACAUCUAAGUUGAAGCAAAGAUUUAUCGCUAAGGGAUGGGGAUGCGUCUGAUUAGGUUGCAGGCGGGGUAACGGCCCACCUGGCCUACGAUCAGUAGGGGUUCUGAGAGGAAGGUCCCCCACACUGGUACUGAGACACGGACCAGACUCCUACGGGAGGCAGCAGUGAGGAAUAUUGGUCAAUGGGCGCGAGCCUGAACCAGCCAAGUAGCGUGCAAGGACGACUGCCCUAUGGGUUGUAAACUGCUUUUAUCAGGGAAUAAAGUGAGGCACGCGUGCCUUUUUGUAUGUACCUGAUGAAUAAGGACCGGCUAAUUCCGUGCCAGCCGCAGC
This 514-nucleotide ribosomal RNA is filed under the name uncultured bacterium. RNAcentral describes it as "bacterial SSU rRNA". It matches the Rfam family "Bacterial small subunit ribosomal RNA", at positions 15 to 518 of the family's 1533-position model. The record is from RNAcentral.